RNAcentral lists this ribosomal RNA (468 nucleotides) under uncultured bacterium. Its description in RNAcentral is "partial 16S ribosomal RNA". It matches the Rfam family "Bacterial small subunit ribosomal RNA", at positions 28 to 507 of the family's 1533-position model. The record is from RNAcentral.
GACGAACGCUGGCGGCGUGCUUAACACAUGCAAGUCGAACGGAAAGGCCCUGCUUUUGUGGGGUGCUCGAGUGGCGAACGGGUGAGUAACACGUGAGUAACCUGCCCUUGACUUUGGGAUAACUUCAGGAAACUGGGGCUAAUACCUGAUAGGAGCUCCUGCUGCAUGGUGGGGGUUGGAAAGUUUCGGCGGUUGGGGAUGUACUCGCGGCUUAUCAGCUUGUUGGUGGGGUAGUGGCUUACCAAGGCUUUGACGGGUAGCCGGCCUGAGAGGGUGACCGGCCACAUUGGGACUGAGAUACGGCCCAGACUCCUACGGGAGGCAGCAGUGGGGAAUAUUGCACAAUGGGCGGAAGCCUGAUGAAGCAACGCCGCGUGCGGGAUGACGGCCUUCGGGUUGUAAACCGCUUUCGCCUGUGACGAAGCGUGAGUGACGGUAAUGGGUAAAGAAGCACCGGCUAACUACGUG